Molecule: ribosomal RNA, 207 nt
Filed under: uncultured bacterium
Lineage: Bacteria
Description: partial 16S ribosomal RNA
Rfam family: Bacterial small subunit ribosomal RNA
Source: RNAcentral
CACGUAGGCGGAUUGGUCAGUUAGAGGUGAAAUCCCGAAGCUCAACUUCGGAACUGCCUUUAAUACUGCCAGUCUAGAGUCCGGAAGAGGUAAGUGGAACUCCUAGUGUAGAGGUGGAAUUCGUAGAUAUUAGGAAGAACACCAGUGGCGAAGGCGGCUUACUGGUCCGGUACUGACGCUGAGGUGCGAAAGCGUGGGGAGCAAACA